UACGUAGGGUGCAAGCGUUACUCGGAAUUACUGGGCGUAAAGCGUGCGCAGGCGGUUGUGCAAGACAGAUGUGAAAUCCCCGGGCUCAACCUGGGAAUUGCAUUUGUGACUGCACGGCUAGAGUGUGCCAGAGGGGGGUAGAAUUCCACGUGUAGCAGUGAAAUGCGUAGAUAUGUGGAGGAAUACCGAUGGCGAAGGCAGCCCCCUGGGAUAACACUGACGCUCAUGCACGAAAGCGUGGGGAGCAAACAGG
Molecule: ribosomal RNA, 253 nt
Filed under: uncultured bacterium
Lineage: Bacteria
Description: partial 16S ribosomal RNA
Rfam family: Bacterial small subunit ribosomal RNA
Source: RNAcentral